This 819-nucleotide long non-coding RNA is filed under the name Trifolium pratense (red clover). RNAcentral's name for it is "long non-coding RNA (TPRA_LNC008605)". Lineage: Eukaryota; Viridiplantae; Streptophyta; Magnoliopsida; Fabales; Fabaceae. The record is from RNAcentral.
AAUAAUAUGCCAAAGAAUGUCGUAUGUUCGAUCAUCAGCUUCAUCGUAAACAAAAAAAAAUCCAACCGUUUAGAUUAAUUUUUUGAAUUAUGAAUAAAAAAUUCUCAAAACAUUUCCCUCAAAAACAAAAAUCACUUCUCCCUCACUGUCUUGAAAUCCAUCAUCCUAGCACCAUUUAAAAACUCAUUCAUCAACAACUUAAUCAACAAAUCAAAUGUGUCUUUCAUAAAUAAAAGCCUCAUUUCACAAAAGAAACCCAGACCAUGAAUAGAGAGAAAGUGAGAGCAAGAGAUAGACAAAAAAUUGGAGUGGAUACUAUAGGCAAAAGAAACAUUAGAAGAAUGAAGAAGGAGAGAUAGAGAGAAUAUGUGGCCAUCACCGAUCUGGUGCAACAACUCAUAAAAAUAAAAUUGAAGGGGAAAACAAAAAAAAGAGAUAGGGAAAUGGAGAUAAAUUAUAUAUGUACCCAAAAAGUCAGAUAACUAUACCAACAGAGAUAAAAACAUGGAAGAAAAAAAUUGAAAUCACAGAGAUUUGUAUGGGCCGUGAAUUGCUUGAAACCCAUAAAUCAUUUGAAUUUUGAGGGAGAUGGGUGGAGGGGAGAUGUUUUGGGAUUUUUUUUCAUGAUUUUAAAAAGUUAAUCUGGGCCGUUGGAUUAUUUUUAAUCACCACUUUGUUGUGUUCAUAGGAAGAAUUAUUUUGUAUUUUUGUUUGCAUUAGAAACUAAUUAUUUUGUAUUUAUGUGGCAACAUUUAACAUUUACAAAUUAUAAUCACUCCCUCCCUCCCAUGUAUGAUUAGCCAAUUUUUGAUAGGUCAA